This is a long non-coding RNA of Drosophila pseudoobscura, 2517 nucleotides long. RefSeq lists it as uncharacterized. The record is from RefSeq and is a predicted model, not a curated record. The transcript has 3 exons. NCBI's taxonomy places the organism in Eukaryota, Metazoa, Arthropoda, Insecta, Diptera, Drosophilidae.
CGUCUGUAAGCGGAAGGGCUAUCUCAGCAUCGUUCUUCAUAAAGCGCCGAUACCAGCCCGCAGUUCCCAGGAAGUUAUGCAAUUCUCGGACAGAUCGCGGCUCGGGAAUGCGAUCAGGAUCCAUCUUCACAGGAGAUUAACAAAAGUGAGAUUUACUCAGCCCUAUCGUAAGGUUCGCUCAUCGUAGGCGCUCGGCAACCUGUCGCAGAAUCUUCACGUGCGUUUCGAAGUCCUCGGCUGUAAUCAACAAGUCGUCUAGAUACGCAUAGACGUUUGAACGCAUUUCUACCGGAAUGACCUUGUCGACCAGUCCACAUAGACGUUGUGCAGCGUUGCAGAGGCCAAAGGGCAUCAUAUGGAACUGGUAAAGAGGCCGUCCCGGCACCGUGAAUGCCGUAUAUGCUGGACUCUGCUCGGCUAGCUCGAUUUGCCAAAAAGCGAGUUUUUAAUCGACGCUGGAGAUUAAUAUCGUCUGAUCGAGACAAAAUCCCCUCGAUUCUAGGCACCCACUGCCUUGAUGCGUCCUUGAUGGUUACUUUGUUGAGCUUUCGGGCAUCGAGACAGAAACGAUUUUGCCCGGCCUUCGCACCACUGUACUUGAUGACUUGUUGAUGACCAACAUUUUGUACACCACCCCACACACCACUUCUUGCAGGUUCAGCCGUCUCCACCAACUGAAUUUUAUGAGUCUCUCUCGACGUCCUCUCCAGGCCUACAGAAUUGAAAGUCAGAAACUCUACCUUCACGUGAUCCAAGGCUGCCUUCUGCUCUUCCGACAAUUUCAAUUCUUUCUGCACUAUCUCCUUCUCUGGGCCUUCCACAUAGUGAGCGACUUGAUCAGCCAGCACUUCUUUCACUAAUCUGUGGGAUGCCCCUACUGGACCUUCUCCCAUCACCUCAGGAGCCAAUGAGAAUACCCUCCAAAAGUCUACCCCCAAAAGAAUAGCGCCGAGUCUCUACGCCCAGCUUCUCCAGGAAUUCCUGACCAUUUGGCCCUAGAAUGCUGUGUGUAGCGCCUGAAUCCAAAAUGCCUCGCACGGACUCGCCCAUCAUAGAGAUUUCUGCGAAAACUCUCGGGUCUUUCUUGCAACAGCGUUUUACUGAAGCAAUCACCUACCUCCUCAUAGUUCGCCUUUGCUUAAACCGGGAUCUCGCCUUUUUCAUCCGCACCGACAGUGCUCGCAUACUAUUCACUCGUAGCUCAGAAAAUAUUAUAUUUCGGGUUUCUAAAUAAUUUCUUAACCGCUCUUCAUAUGAUAAGUUAUUUAAUCUAGCAUGCAAAUAACGUCUAUCUAAUUCAUUUUUAUUCUCUUCUACUUUCUCUGCGCAGGCCCCCUCUGUGAGCGUUAUUCGCCUGCUUGGAUCGCACUCCUCUUCGCGUUUCCCGCGCAAUUCUGGCAGUUCGGGCAAUAUGCAUCGGGCUUUCCACACCGGUAGCAAAAAAUUCGCCUCUCCGAUGCCAUACAGUCUCUAAAGCCAUGAUUGGUCUGCCCGCAGUUCCAGCAAAUCAACUUUUACGGAACACGCCGUGUCACUUGCGCUUUCUUAAUGACCUCGACCUCUUCAUCGCUAAUCGACCGAUCCUGUACGACCACGCGGACGUUCGCAUUCGCCCCACGGCCAUAGCUGGUGGCUUUGGGUGCUCCUCACCACGAAGAUCUAGCCUUCCUCUUCAGGUGUGCCUCUAUUUCCACGCAUUCAUCCCGCAGUUGGUCUAAGGAAUAAACCCGUGGUGCCGUCUCCAACCUCGAGGCGAGCUUCCUCAUGAUAUGGAAAAAGUCUUUCACACUCUCGUUUGACCGCUGCAUUCUUUCCCGCAGCUCUCUCAUAUGGUCGAACUCGGACGCCGAGCUUCGGAAACGUGCAAUUAGGUCGUCCCUAAGAUCCUGCCAAACACCACCGCCAUGAUCGCGAAUGUACUGGCAGUACCAUUCCCGCGCGUUUCCUGUAACCUGGUGAUAGAAUCCCUUGAGAACCCCAUCCCACGGGCAGCGACAUUGGGAUUGUAGGAAUUCAAUUCGGAACAAAAAAUCCUCGACCGUCAUUUUGUUGUCUCGGACCCACCGUGGCCAAGGUCUAUAACCCGGCGGGUUUGAAUGCGGAUCUUCUCGAGGAAUUUCACCAGCUCUCCUUCUCUCGCCACGACCCUGACCUGAGUGUCUACGUACUAUCGGGUUUCGCCAAUCUCGCGCUUGAUUCUCUGCCCGUUUAUGCUGCUCACUGGAUGCGGUCGUCCCUACUCCUGAAGACGGUUCCGGACCAAUACCACCUUACCCCAAGCGAGCCAAAAAUGGCCAUUCUUCCUGGCCUGGACAGCUCCAAGUUCCUCCCGACCUUGAUCGAAUAUCGCCCCGGACGCUUCUCCUAUCGCGUCCACUGUUUCGUUUACGCGUGAUCGCGUAUGAUACGGUCGACUACCCCCUUCUUGUGGCAUCUGCACUGAGCAACACCAAUACUACAACAAAAAACGAGGGGGAACGUUGUGAGUUGCUGCGGACACCGCAACUCUACAUUUAU